AAGAGUUGACUACCACAUUUUCUCCUAAUAAUAGAUUUUAGUAGCAAUGCUUAUGAGAUAGAUUAAAACUGUCACUACCUGAAGAAGGGGAAGCAUUUAUUUGUGUCCUCUUAUAUGAAAUGGCUGAACAGGGGGAA
Small nucleolar RNA from Molossus molossus (Pallas's mastiff bat), 137 nucleotides. RefSeq annotates it as small nucleolar RNA SNORA29. Lineage: Eukaryota; Metazoa; Chordata; Mammalia; Chiroptera; Molossidae. The record is from RefSeq and is a predicted model, not a curated record. The transcript has a single exon.